This 558-nucleotide ribosomal RNA is filed under the name Longimicrobiales bacterium. Its description in RNAcentral is "bacterial SSU rRNA". It matches the Rfam family "Bacterial small subunit ribosomal RNA", at positions 1 to 533 of the family's 1533-position model. The record is from RNAcentral. Lineage: Bacteria; Pseudomonadati; Gemmatimonadota; Longimicrobiia; Longimicrobiales.
UCAAUGGAGAGUUUGAUCCUGGCUCAGGACGAACGCUGGCGGCGUGCUUAACACAUGCAAGUCGAACGAGGCCGGAGUGCUUGCACUCCGAGUCGAGUGGCGAACGGGUGCGUAACACGUGACCAACCUGUCCUAGGGUGAGGGACAACCUGGGGAAACCCGGGCUAAUACCGCAUGACGUCCAGACCUCGCAUGGGGACUGGAUCAAAGAGGGCCUCUGCUUGCAAGCUCUCGCCAUGGGAGGGGGUCGCGGCGUAUCAGCUAGUUGGUAGGGUAACGGCCUACCAAGGCUACGACGCGUAGUGGGUCUGAGAGGACGACCCGCCACAUUGGGACUGAGAUACGGCCCAGACUCCUACGGGAGGCAGCAGUGGGGAAUAUUGCGCAAUGGCCGAAAGGCUGACGCAGCGACGCCGCGUGUGGGAGGAAGCUCUUCGGGGUGUAAACCACUGUCGGAGGGGAAGAUCCCCGCCAAUUCGAAUAGGGUUGGCGGCUUACGGUACCCUCAAAGGAAGCACCGGCUAACUCCUUGCCAGCAGCCGCGGUAAGACGGAGGGU